UACGUAGGGUGCGAGCGUUAAUCGGAAUUACUGGGCGUAAAGCGUGCGCAGGCGGUGAUGUAAGACAGUUGUGAAAUCCCCGGGCUCAACCUGGGAACUGCAUCUGUGACUGCAUCGCUGGAGUGCGGCAGAGGGGGAUGGAAUUCCGCGUGUAGCAGUGAAAUGCGUAGAUAUGCGGAGGAACACCGAUGGCGAAGGCAGCCUCCUGGGCCAACACUGACGCUCAUGCACGAAAGCGUGGGGAGCAAACAGG
RNAcentral lists this ribosomal RNA (253 nucleotides) under uncultured bacterium. RNAcentral's name for it is "partial 16S ribosomal RNA". It matches the Rfam family "Bacterial small subunit ribosomal RNA", at positions 524 to 776 of the family's 1533-position model. The record is from RNAcentral.